RNAcentral lists this long non-coding RNA (566 nucleotides) under Daucus carota (carrot). Its description in RNAcentral is "long non-coding RNA (DCAR_LNC003943)". Lineage: Eukaryota; Viridiplantae; Streptophyta; Magnoliopsida; Apiales; Apiaceae. The record is from RNAcentral.
GGGGGCUUCUCCUUGAGUAACCAAUAUAGAUGGGUAACUAGGAACUAAUAUCUUAACCGUACAUUACUUAACCAAAUGAGCGGAUGUGAUCAUACAGAUAUAUACUACUGUAUCUUAUCCUAGGGCUCAUCUUAUCCAAUCCUAUCCACUAGCCACACCAUAAACCGUUAAACAGUUAUCAUGACUCUUUUCUGCUUAUUACGUGCAUAAUUCAAAAUAUUGUUCUGUAUUUUGUAAAUCUAUUCUAUUAAAUAUUUUCUUUUAAAUAUAUUUUGUAUUACAAUUUUAAUUCAGUUUCGUAAAUUUUAAACAUAAUUAUUUUGUAAAUCUCAUAUAUACAUUUAAAUUUUUAUGAAAAAUAUAGAACGUAGCUUAAUAGAAAAUACCAUAAAAUAUGGAAUAUAAGAAGAAUUAUUUUCUUAUGAAUUUUUUUAUAUAUAUANUAUGGAAUAUAAGAAGAAUUAUUUUCUUAUGAAUUUUUUUAUAUAUAUAAAAAAACUUAUAUUUUCAUAUAAUUUUUAUUUAAUGAAAAAUAACAUGUAAUAUUUUUUAUUUUAAAAUUUUAG